AGCGGCGGACGGGUGAGUAACGCGUGGGUAACCUGCCCUGUACACACGGAUAACAUACCGAAAGGUAUGCUAAUACGAGAUAAUAUGCUUUUAUCGCAUGGUAGAAGUAUCAAAGCUUUUGCGGUACAGGAUGGACCCGCGUCUGAUUAGCUAGUUGGUAAGGUAACGGCUUACCAAGGCGACGAUCAGUAGCCGACCUGAGAGGGUGAUCGGCCACAUUGGAACUGAGACACGGUCCAAACUCCUACGGGAGGCAGCAGUGGGGAAUACUGCACAAUGGGCGAAAGCCUGAUGCAGCAACGCCGCGUGAGCGAUGAAGGCCUUCGGGUCGUAAAGCUCUGUCCUCAAGGAAGAUAAUGACGGUACUUGAGGAGGAAGCCCCGGCUAACUACGCGCCAGCAGCCGCGGUAAUACGUAGGGGGCUAGCGUUAUCCGGAAUUACUGGGCGUAAAGGGUGCGUAGGUGGUUUCUUAAGUCAGAGGUGAAAGGCUACGGCUCAACCGUAGUAAGCCUUUGAAACUGGGAAACUUGAGUGCAGGGGAGGAGAGUGGAAUUCCUAGUGUAGCGGUGAAAUGCGUAGAUAUUAGGAGGAACACCAGUUGCGAAGGCGGCUCUCUGGACUGUAACUGACACUGAGGCACGAAAGCGUGGGGAGCAAACAGGAUUAGAUACCCUGGUAGUCCACGCCGUAAACGAUGAGUACUAGGUGU
Molecule: ribosomal RNA, 710 nt
Filed under: uncultured bacterium
Lineage: Bacteria
Description: bacterial SSU rRNA
Rfam family: Bacterial small subunit ribosomal RNA
Source: RNAcentral